AACGAACGCUGGCGGCAGGCCUAACACAUGCGAGUCGAGCGCGCCCUUCGGGGUGAGCGGCGGACGGGUGAGUAAUGCGUGGGAACGUGCCCUUUUCUACGGAAUAGCCUCGGGAAACUGAGAGUAAUACCGUAUACGCCCUUUGGGGGAAAGAUUUAUCGGAAAAGGAUCGGCCCGCGUUGGAUUAGGUAGUUGGUGGGGUAAUGGCCUACCAAGCCGACGAUCCAUAGCUGGUUUGAGAGGAUGAUCAGCCACACUGGGACUGAGACACGGCCCAGACUCCUACGGGAGGCAGCAGUGGGGAAUCUUAGACAAUGGGGGCAACCCUGAUCUAGCCAUGCCGCGUGAGUGAUGAAGGCCUUAGGGUUGUAAAGCUCUUUCAGCUGGGAAGAUAAUGACGGUACCAGCAGAAGAAGCCCCGGCUAACUCCGUG
RNAcentral lists this ribosomal RNA (433 nucleotides) under uncultured bacterium. Its description in RNAcentral is "partial 16S ribosomal RNA". It matches the Rfam family "Bacterial small subunit ribosomal RNA", at positions 29 to 507 of the family's 1533-position model. The record is from RNAcentral.